GACGAACGCUGGCGGCGUGCUUAGCACAUGCAAGUCGAACGGAAAGGCCCUGCUUUUGUGGGGUGCUCGAGUGGCGAACGGGUGAGUAACACGUGAGUAACCUGCCCUUGACUUUGGGAUAACUUCAGGAAACUGGGGCUAAUACCGGAUAGGAGCUCCUGCUGCAUGGUGGGGGUUGGAAAGUUUCGGCGGUUGGGGAUGGACUCGCGGCUUAUCAGCUUGUUGGUGGGGUAGUGGCUUACCAAGGCUUUGACGGGUAGCCGGCCUGAGAGGGUGACCGGCCACAUUGGGACUGAGAUACGGCCCAGACUCCUACGGGAGGCAGCAGUGGGGAAUAUUGCGCAAUGGGCGGAAGCCUGAUGCAGCAACGCCGCGUGCGGGAUGACGGCCUUCGGGUUGUAAACCGCUUUCGCCUGUGACGAAGCGUGAGUGACGGUAAUGGGUAAAGAAGCACCGGCUAACUACGUG
This 468-nucleotide ribosomal RNA is filed under the name uncultured bacterium. Its description in RNAcentral is "partial 16S ribosomal RNA". It matches the Rfam family "Bacterial small subunit ribosomal RNA", at positions 28 to 507 of the family's 1533-position model. The record is from RNAcentral.